UACGAAGGGGGCGAGCGUUGUUCGGAUUUACUGGGCGUAAAGGGCGCGCAGGCGGCUCAUUUUGUCAGGCGUGAAAGCCCCGGGCUUAACCUGGGAACUGCGUUUGAUACGGAUGGGCUAGAGUUCGGGAGAGGAGAGUGGAAUUCCCAGUGUAGAGGUGAAGUUCGUAGAUAUUGGGAAGAACACCGGUGGCGAAGGCGGCUCUCUGGACCGAGACUGACGCUGAGGCGCGAAAGCGUGGGGAGCAAACAGG
RNAcentral lists this ribosomal RNA (253 nucleotides) under uncultured bacterium. Its description in RNAcentral is "partial 16S ribosomal RNA". It matches the Rfam family "Bacterial small subunit ribosomal RNA", at positions 524 to 776 of the family's 1533-position model. The record is from RNAcentral.